GCUAUGGGGAUCUGGCACUGUGGUUACUGCAUGAAAACAGUAGCUGGUGGUGCCUGGACCUGCACCACCACCUCUGCAGGCACAGUAAAGUCUGCC
RNAcentral lists this microRNA precursor (96 nucleotides) under Dasypus novemcinctus (nine-banded armadillo). Its description in RNAcentral is "miRNA (ENSDNOG00000046937.1)". The record is from RNAcentral. Lineage: Eukaryota; Metazoa; Chordata; Mammalia; Cingulata; Dasypodidae.